AGGUUUUAAAAUAGCCACGCAGUCGCCUGGCCUCUACCGGUAUCCACUUGAGCAGGAUCUGGAUUGACUUUUUCUCAUGAAUCUUUGCUCCAAAAAUCAGAUCUGAAUCUGAUCUGGAAGAUCUUCAAAAGAUCUUCUGAAGCUGGAGUAGCAGCUUCUCGACAAAUCUCUGUAGCCUUCUGAUUACGAAGCCACCACGCCUUGGACAAGUAUCAGAUGGAUGCCCAACUUCUUGAAUGUGAAGAGGGGA
Molecule: long non-coding RNA, 250 nt
Filed under: Elaeis guineensis (African oil palm)
Lineage: Eukaryota; Viridiplantae; Streptophyta; Magnoliopsida; Arecales; Arecaceae
Description: long non-coding RNA (EGUI_LNC027513)
Source: RNAcentral